GCUGCUCGGGCUGAGGAUCAGGGUUGAUCCGAGCGUUCUGGCCUCACAACGGCUGUCAAACACCCAAACUAACUGGCUAACUACUUCCAGACACAUGAGAGAACACCUCACUCUGGUCAUUUUACUCACCCAAGCAGAGCUGGUUAGGUAGUUUAAUGAUGUUUUUUGUGGCUGAAAUUGACUGACAUUGGUCACAUUCAACAGGUGUUGAGUGUUUCUAAAUUCAUCAGUUAUUUGCUCUGUGUUGAGUGUGUAAAUCCAUCCGUUUUUCGCACUCUGCCUCUAGCAGUCAGACGAGCGUGCUCUGAAGUUGGAGUCGAUAGCCCAGAGCAAAUUUAAGAACGGACCUGAACGACUAUACCACGUAGCUAAACGAUGAAUGACAAUCAAGUCAAUAAACGUUGGGUAGUUAGUUAAAUAGAAUAAAGUAAAUAUACUGGGACGUUUGUUGUACUAGUAGCCAACUAACAUUACAGUAGGUAGCUAAAAUACCCGGCUGUUACAUACCAAGGUAAAGACAGUUUCAGGUUAGAUAUUCGAUGGCUUGGGCCCCUCUUGGGGCGAACCCAUUCCAGGGCGCCCUGUCCUUGACAAAGAAAAGAUAACUCUAGCCCGGGGCUCCCGCCAACUUCUCCAGGAUCGGUCGCGUUACCACAUUGGAUGCCUCGUGGCGCCCGUCUCCGCCAGUCCGUGGACUUUCUGAAAGUAGUUUGAGCCAUUGCAAUGAGCCUGUCCUCCCCAUUGAUCCCUCCACCACCAGCCACAGUGCCAAUCCAGGGCCUCUUUUGGUUUUGCACGCCUCCCUUUCGGACUAAGCCAUUCUCAAAUGCAUCAGAGAAGCCUGUGCCAACACAGAACAGCCAUAGAGGAAAUGAAGACAGCCUCUAAUCAAGAUGUCUGUACCAAGGGAUGAUGGGAGGAUUAUUAGCACGGAUUUGGAGUUGGGAGGAAAGAGGGGGAUGCCAAUAUAGGGGUGCUGUUUGGGGGCUCUGCAGCUGUGCCACAUAAUAAGAAAUAGAGCUGGUGGAGUCUGAUGGCUAAAUUAAAGACUAUGUAAUGCUCGCUGAUAGCCUGGAGCUAAUGAUGUGCCUUUCGAUUCUCUAUGGUUGUUGACCUAUUGCCAGGGUCCUCCAAAUAACAAAUGUUUCAUGUUGCAAAACAUUUUUACCACAGUGUGUGUUAAUGAACAGAACCCUAUGUUGGGAUACUGACUUCCAAGGGGGAAGCUUGAGUGUACAUUGAUAACACAUUUCCUGCUGUGAGAGAAGUUGAGUUUUCUGUCUCAGUCAUACACUAUAGUUAUGAUACCUGUGUGUACUAAUAAUACUUUUUAAAAGCUGGGAGUGAAAGUUUCAUCAGAUACAAAAUGUAGUAAAUGUUAUUACACCUGGCUUGAUGGUACAAAACAUGGGACCUCCAGUAAGAAAUUAAAUAUGUUAUUUUCUAGUCAUAGAAUAUUCAACAGGCCUUGUGGGGCUGAGAUGCAGUAAAUGGCAGACUACUUUGUGGAUGGUGUGAGAUUUUCCACAAGUGUUAAUUUCAUUAAAUGACAUAUUCCUAAGGGAACAAGCUACAUUCAAUUUGAUCCCACAAAAAUCUGAUAUCUCAGUCUCAAUGUGUUUUUACUGUCAAUAUUUCAUGCCUAAUGUGAUUGAUUGUGAUGAAAAUACAGUAGCUCUUGUAGCCUAUGCCACUUUUGCAAUCAUGUGAGGACCUCUUGUGGUAGUCUGUGGUACACUACAAUUCGUAGCUGCCCUCAUUCAUAACCAAUUACAACCAGAAUCCAAACCUAUACCUUAACUCUAGCUUCAUGUCCACAUCCCGGUUCAACCCUAACCCUAGCCUCAACUACAACCCUAACAUUAACACUAGCUUCAUGUCCACAUUCCAGUUCAACCUUAACAGUUCAACCCUAACCCUAGCCUCAACGACAACUACAACCCUUUCCUCAAUCACAACCCAAACCCUAGCUUCAUGUUCACACUCCAGUUCAACCUUAACCCUCAACCCCAACCCAACCAUAACCUUGGUUUAUCUUACUCUAACCUACUUUGUACUCUACUUUCCUCUUUGGUGCUGCAGCUCAGCUCUACCUGGCUUUCCCUUUGACAUGUGGUACAGGAGGUUGGCUCUGGGUAGCUCUGGCUCAGUUUAACAACUGAUCCUCAUCCCAUUGAUGUCAUGGCAACAUGGCACUGUCCACACCUUAGCACACAUGCACUCACUCUCGCAAACACACACACACACACACACACACACACACACACACACACACACACACACACACACACACACACACACAUUCAUAUGCUACAUACACAUCACAACUCUACCAGAAUCAUAUUAUUAUUGCUAAAUACUGCACAAUUUUAACACUUGCCUGCCAAUCCCCCCUUCCCAAAAACAACUGUAAAUAUUAGACAAAUUGUGCUUCCCUGUAUUAUACUUACAUGUAUGCUAAACAUUUUAUUAUAUUUUACUGAACCAUUUCCUUUAUGUUCGUAUUUUAUUAUUUAUUUGUAUUCUUGCAUUGUCGAGAAGGAACCUGCAAGUAAGCAUUUCAUUGGCCAGUGUGUAUCUUGUACAUACCAUGUGUAUCUUGUACAUACAGUACAACUAAUACAACUUGAAACUUGAUGGAGAUAGUGUUACUAGAAUAACCACUAGGUGGCCAUAGCUGCAUUGGUUAUACAGUACUGUUCAUUUGAACAUAAACAAAUAGGAUAGUGAAAACAUUGCCCAUUUUGGCUUACCACUGUAUUAUGUUAAUAAGACUUGGUUUAGCUUUGUGUCAAUUUACUAUGACAAAGAAUUAUGGCUAGAAAGGAGAUGGAAUUCUAUUUAUUUACAUACUUUCUCUCCCUGUCCCUAGCCUGUAGCUAUCCCUUCUAUCCCUAACCUGUAGCUAUUCCUUCUCUCCUUGUCCCUAACCUGUAGCUAUCCCUUCUCUCCCUGUCCCUAACCUGUAGCUAUCACAUCUAUCCCUGUCCCUAACCUGUAGCUAUCACAUCUAUCCCUGUCCCUAACCUGUAGCUAUCACAUCUAUCCCUGUCCCUAACCUGUAGCUAUCACAUCUAUCCCUGUCCCUAACCUGUAGCUAUCACAUCUAUCCCUGUCCCUAACCUGUAGCUAUCAUAUCUAUCCCUGUCCCUAACCUGUAGCUAUCCCUUCUCUCCCUGUCCCUAACCUGUAGCUAUCCCUUCUCUCCCUGUUCCCAACUUGUAGCUGUCCCUUCUGUCCCUAACCUGUAGCUAUCCCUUCUCUCCCUGUUCCCAACCUGUAGCUAUCCCUUCUCUCCCUGUCCCUAACCUGUAACUAUCCCUUCUCUCCUUGUCCCUAACCUGUAGCUAUCACAUCUAUCCCUGUCCCUAACCUGUAGCUCUCACAUCUAUCCCUGUCCCUAAACUGUAGCUAUCACAUCUAUCCCUGUCCCUAACCUGUAGCUAUCCCUUCUCUCCCUGUUCCUAACCUGUAGGUAGGGGUAGGUUGACCUCAGGUCUUCCCACUGGAAGCCCGGGGUAGGGGGAGCGGGGGAAAAAUAAAAAAUCUAUCAAAUAGCGCACCUCUAACUUUUUACAGUACUAAUGCAAUUAGUAAUGCAAUUAGUUGUGCAAUUGAGUUUAUGCGUUUCUUGUUUGAAGUACAAUAGUGUAAUAAUCAGGUUCUCUUCUUUAUAUGUGUGUUAUUGUAUUUGUUUAUUUGUGUGAUUUAGGAUUUGUGCAAUUUAGUUUUAUUUGUCUGAUUUUUGUUGGCAUUGGGGUAAUAGUGCAAUAAUUUGAUUCUCCUUUUUAUUGUCACUUCUUUUUUAUAUUUAUUAGUCUUAUUUUUGUAUAUAUAUUUAUAUUUAUAUCGUUUUAAAUGUUAUGAUUACUUAUUUGUUUUGUUCCAAAUAUCUGA
This is a non-coding RNA of Oncorhynchus mykiss (rainbow trout), 3897 nucleotides long. NCBI's taxonomy places the organism in Eukaryota, Metazoa, Chordata, Actinopteri, Salmoniformes, Salmonidae. The record is from RefSeq and is a predicted model, not a curated record.